UUCCCCUUAAUUCCAGUGAUGGAACCUAUGAGUACUUAGAAACUCUUUGGCUCAAGCCCUGAAGGAAGAACGGAUGAUAAAAAAGAAGGUGCUCCAGAAAGCACAUCAGGUUUAGUUUGAUCUUACUAACAAGGAGUCUAGUGAAACUAACAAUAUCCAUUUUCUUGAGUCUUUACAAAUUACUGCACACAGUAGAGUAGGCAAUUCAUGUACCCUCACAUUUUUGCAAUAAGAGGGUGAUAGGAAGGGGCCAGUGAAUUAACUGAAAUAUCUGUAAAUGGCACUGGAGACAUAGGUAUCUAAGAAUCACUGAGGGGGUCUGGAAAUAUUUAGUUAAAUUGAUUGAAAACAACUCUGGCUAAUACUUUGCUUACCAUUACGCAAUAAGCCAUUCAGUGCCUUUCCCUAUUCUCUGCUGGAGAUGUGAGAUAUUCUGUCAGACUCUACAAAUGUAUCAGUUCCCUUCAACACUAAAGCAGAUUGGUCUACUUCAUAAUUGAUUUUCUACAGACAAUUGAUUUGAACUUUUAAAACCCCCUGUGAUGUCGGGAUCAGAUUUGUCUUUUUUCUGUGCCAUCCAGUUACCAUGAUGAACUCUGAGCUAAAUUUCGGUUGGGUUUUGCUUAAUUGGAGGAAAGGGACAGAGUUCCAGGAUAAACCAACAGAAGGGACAGUCACUCUGAAUUCAUACAUGAACUCGUGGAUGGAAAGGUUACUCCCCACAGGAGGCAUUCAGGACACCCGGCUGACAAGGUGUUUCUAACAUUAUAACCACCAGAUUUUUAAUGGAGUUUAAAUGUCUUUAAUCACACAGGCUAAGCGGCACUAAGCACAAGUUCAAGGUGAUUCCGACAGCUCUUAUUCUACAUCUGCAUUUUUAUCUUCCUUAGAUUAAUUCAUAUUUAAUUGCUCAUAUCACUGAUUGAAGUACUAGAGAAGGGAGCACUUUAAUUCCUUUGAUCUCAUACUUUUGCUACCUAAUAGCAAGGUCGGUCAUCAGGCAGGCCUGCAAUGUUGCUGGGCUUCUGGGGUGGGCGGAAGAGUAUGAUUGACUUCAAUUAAGUAGUGUGUAUUAUAGGUAGAGCUGAAAGCAACACCUAUAUUAAAGUUGCCUAAUGCUUCCCAUAUUAGCAAAUGCUAUAGCUUUGCCAGCAUGCUAAUCAUCAUUACUGGAACUUUGCAAAAACAU
Molecule: long non-coding RNA, 1189 nt
Filed under: Chrysemys picta bellii (western painted turtle)
Lineage: Eukaryota; Metazoa; Chordata; Testudines; Emydidae
Description: lncRNA (ENSCPBG00000015426.1)
Source: RNAcentral